GCAGCACGCUGGCUCCCCAGCCCUGCAUGGCAGCUAUUGCCAGGUUCAGGGGCAGCAGGACCCUGCCCUGAAUGAGAAAACCUCUCAGAGGACUCAACUGUCUCAUGAAUCAGGGCUUUUUCCCUUUUCCUUUUCUUGUUUAAUCUCAAUUCACAGCUCUCCACCGCCUCAGAGCUGAGCCGACCUUGCCCCAGGCCGCAUCUCAAGCCGGAAACACCAUGCAGCUUGGCAAGGACAAGAUGUGAUAAUGCUGAAGAGUGCUCAGACAGUGAACUGUGAAACUGUGGUGGUGUCUGCUGAGGAAAACCUACAAGCUAUCAAGAAAGGUGCUGGAUGUUUCACAAUACAAUCUAUCAACUAUCCAAGCUAAAUGCUUAUAUUUAUAGGGUUUUUUCCCUUGUAAUUCCAUGCCAUCUAAGCCUUACAGUAGGCCACCUGGCCAGUGUGAGCAUACAGGUUAAUUUCUAGGUAAUAUAUUAUUCUAUAUAAUAAAAACAAGUUGUCUGGUUGUUUUUA
This is a long non-coding RNA of Pezoporus flaviventris, 516 nucleotides long. RefSeq lists it as uncharacterized. NCBI's taxonomy places the organism in Eukaryota, Metazoa, Chordata, Aves, Psittaciformes, Psittacidae. The transcript is spliced from 2 exons. The record is from RefSeq and is a predicted model, not a curated record.